GACGAACCGUGCGAACGUUAUUCGGAAUCACUGGGCUUAAAGCGCGUGUAGGCGGGCCGCCACGUCGAAUGCUGAAAUCCCCCGGCUCAACCGGGGAACGGGCAUCGAUACGAGCGGCCUGGAGGGAGGUAGGGGGGGCUGGAACUUCCGGUGGAGCGGUGAAAUGCGUUGAGAUCGGAAGGAACGCCCGUGGCGAAAGCGAGCCCCUGGACCUUUUCUGACGCUGAGACGCGAAAGCUAGGGGAGCGAACGGG
This 254-nucleotide ribosomal RNA is filed under the name uncultured bacterium. RNAcentral's name for it is "partial 16S ribosomal RNA". It matches the Rfam family "Bacterial small subunit ribosomal RNA", at positions 524 to 776 of the family's 1533-position model. The record is from RNAcentral.